UGCUGUCCACACUGAACACCCGAUUAAAGGCAUUACAGCGUAUAGAAACGAAGGUGAAGACCCGUGAGGGAACUUACACACAACGAAUCUAUCUACACAAAGCCGAAGCCUUAUGCAGACACAGCUGGAAGAUUCGGCCUAGAAGUACCGCUGCCCAAAGCUUCAUGAAAUCAAUUCACUAAGAGCAAGCAGUCUCCAAACCAGAAC
This 207-nucleotide ribosomal RNA is filed under the name Gyrodactylus teuchis. RNAcentral describes it as "partial 18S ribosomal RNA". The record is from RNAcentral. Lineage: Eukaryota; Metazoa; Platyhelminthes; Monogenea; Gyrodactylidea; Gyrodactylidae.